UACGUAGGUGGCAAGCGUUGUCCGGAUUUACUGGGCGUAAAGGGCGCGUAGGCGGCCUGUUAAGUCGAACGUGAAAUCCCCGGGCUCAACCCGGGAACUGCGUCCGAUACUGGCAGGCUUGAAUUCGGGAGAGGGAUGCGGAAUUCCAGGUGUAGCGGUGAAAUGCGUAGAUAUCUGGAGGAACACCGGUGGCGAAGGCGGCAUCCUGGACCGAGAUUGACGCUGAGGCGCGAAAGCCAGGGGAGCAAACGGG
Molecule: ribosomal RNA, 253 nt
Filed under: uncultured bacterium
Lineage: Bacteria
Description: partial 16S ribosomal RNA
Rfam family: Bacterial small subunit ribosomal RNA
Source: RNAcentral